AGGUCGUAACAGGUCUCCGUUGGUGAACCAGCGGAGGGAUCAUUACAGAGUUGAAAAACUCCAAACCCACUGUGAAUAUACCUCUGUUCCUUCGGUAGGCGGCCCCCGGGGGGGCUCUGCCGUGACCGGCGCCUGCCGAGGGGCAAACCAAACUCUUGCUACUUUUAGUGUUACCUCUGAGCAAAUGAAAAAAUAAGUCACAACUUUCAACAACGGAUCUCUUGGUUCUGGCAUCGAUGAAGAACGCAGCGAAAUGCGAUAAGUAAUGUGAAUUGCAGAAUUCAGUGAAUCAUCGAAUCUUUGAACGCACAUUGCGCCCGUCAGUAUUCUGGCGGGCAUGCCUGUUCGAGCGUCAUUACGCCCCUCAAGUCCCCUGUGGACUUGGUGUUGGGGAUCGGCGAGGCCGGUUUUCCAGCACAGCCGUCCCUUAAAUUAAUUGGCGGUCUCGCCGUGGCCCUCCUCUGCGCAGUAGUAAAACACUCGCAACAGGAGCCCGGCGCGGUCCACUGCCGUAAAACCCCCCAACUUUUUAUAGUUAACCUCGAAUCAGGUAGGACUACCCGCUGAACUUAA
RNAcentral lists this ribosomal RNA (573 nucleotides) under uncultured fungus. RNAcentral describes it as "eukaryotic LSU rRNA". The stretch from base 202 to 355 matches the Rfam family "5.8S ribosomal RNA". Lineage: Eukaryota; Fungi. The record is from RNAcentral.